Molecule: long non-coding RNA, 100 nt
Organism: Mustela erminea (ermine)
Lineage: Eukaryota; Metazoa; Chordata; Mammalia; Carnivora; Mustelidae
Exons: 3
Source: RefSeq, a predicted model, not a curated record
AGGGAAGGAAUUUAGGAGGAUGGGGUCCAGGGUGAUGAACAUUUAAGGAGGGAAUGUGAUGUAAUGAGCACUGGGUGUUAUAUAAGAUGAAUCACUAAAA